Small nucleolar RNA from Panicum virgatum (switchgrass), 139 nucleotides. RefSeq annotates it as small nucleolar RNA Z247. The record is from RefSeq and is a predicted model, not a curated record. Lineage: Eukaryota; Viridiplantae; Streptophyta; Magnoliopsida; Poales; Poaceae. The transcript has a single exon.
GUUGUUGAUGAAGAUGAGAUGGUCGGUUACAUAUUGAAUGGUUUAGAUUUCGAUUAUAAUCCUGUCGUAUCUUCCAUUCUUGGCCGCACUGACCCCAUCACCAUGAGUGAUCUAUAUACUCAAUUGCUGUCCUAUGAGA